RNAcentral lists this ribosomal RNA (204 nucleotides) under Triticum aestivum (bread wheat). RNAcentral describes it as "partial small subunit ribosomal RNA". Lineage: Eukaryota; Viridiplantae; Streptophyta; Magnoliopsida; Poales; Poaceae. The record is from RNAcentral.
AUGUGUGCUUCGAAAAGGGAAGGAGGAAUGGGCUUCCGUGAUCCAGAGGCUUUCAAUCAAGCGCUGCUAGCGAAACAAGCAUGGAGACUCAUUGAACAGCCCAACUCACUGUGUGCACGUGUGCUCAAGGCCCGCUACUAUAGUGCAGACUCCAUCAUAUCUGCUACUGCCCCGGCAUCGGCCUCGUUCACUUUCCGUAGCAUU